CUAUGGUUUAUUGGAUCGUACCCGUUAAAUGGAUAACUGUAAUAACUCUAGAGCUAAUACAUGCCUCGAAGCCCUGACCCUUGCGGGAAUGGGUGCACUUAUUAGAUCAGAAGCCAACCGCGAAAGCGUUGAACUUCUGGUGACUCUGGAUAAUUGUUACAGAUCGCAGUCGGCCUUGAGUCGGCGACGGGUCCUUCAAAUGUCUGCCCUAUCAACUUUCGAUGGUAGGUGACCUGCCUACCAUGGUGAUAACGGGUAACGGGGAAUCAGGGUUCGAUUCCGGAGAGGGAGCCUGAGAAACGGCUACCACUUCCAAGGGAGGCAGCAGGCGCGCAAAUUACCCACUCCCAGCACGGGGAGGUGGUGACGAAAAAUACCGAUGCGGGACUCCUUAUAGAGGCUCCGUAAUCGGAAUGAGUGAACUAUAAAUCCUUUCACAAGGAUCAAUUGGAGGGCAAGUCUGGUGCCAGCAGCCGCGGUAACUCCAGCUCCAAUAGCGUAUAUUAAAGUUGCUGCAGUUAAAAAGCUCGUAGUUGGAUCUCGGUAGCAUUGUUGCCCGUCGGUAAUUGGGCAGUUGGUAUAGGCGCACUGGUACGCCCGUGCUUGCCGCCACUGGCUGUUCCGAACUGGCGUGGUGAUGGUGUCGCCUUUCAGCCAUGUCUGUGGUGAAAUACCCAUGGGUGUAGGCGGGUGUCGGGCGGUGCCUUGCGACAGUGGGGCCCGUCGGCUCGUUUGCAUGCCUUUGGAUGCCCUUUAAAAGGUGUCUGCGGGCGGAUGGCACGUUUACUUUGAACAAAUUUGAGUGCUCAAACCAGGCCGCUGUUGCCUGAAAAGUUUUGCAUGGAAUAAUGGAAUAGGACUUCGGUUCUAUUUCGUUGGUUUUCGGAUCCGAAGUAAUGAUCAAAAGGGACAGGCGGGGACGUUUGUAUGGCUGCGCUAGAGGUGAAAUUCAUGGACCGUAGCCAGACAAACUAAAGCGAAAGCAUUCGUCAAGCAUGUUUUCAUUGGCCAUGAGCGAAAGUCAGAGGCUCGAAGACGAUCAGAUACCGUCCUAGUUCUGACCAUAAACGAUGCCAACUGACGAUCCGUGGUGGUAGUCUAUCAACCUUCCCCACGGGCAGCCCCCGGGAAACCUUUAAGUCUUUGGGUUCCGGGGGAAGUAUGGUUGCAAAGCUGAAACUUAAAGGAAUUGACGGAAGGGCACCACCAGGAGUGGAGCCUGCGGCUUAAUUUGACUCAACACGGGAAAACUCACCCGGGCCGGACACUAUGAGGAUUGACAGAUUAAAAGCUCUUUCUUGAUUUGGUGGUUGGUGGUGCAUGGCCGUUCGUAGUUGGUGGAGCGAUUUGUCUGGUUAAUUCCGAUAACGAACGAGACUCCUGCCUGCUAAUUAGUUCAUCUGUCCACUGUGCCUGUGUAGGCGGCGUUUGGCAAGGCUGCUCCUAUUUACCUCGCCUUGGGGCUGCGUGUCCUCGGAUGCGUUGGCUGCUCGGUGGGAGGGUAGUGGCUGGUCCGGCGUUAGCUUCCGGGUACGGCGCGGGUGUACACUUCUUAGAGGGACAAGCGGGAGAAGCCGCACGAAAUAGAGCAAUAACAGGUCUGUGAUGCCCUUAGAUGUCCGGGGCCGCACGCGCGCUACAAUGACGGUGGCAAUGAGUUAGACCUCCUGGCCCGAAAGGGUUGGGCAAACUGGUCAAUCACCGUCAUAACAGGGAUCGGGGCUUGGAAUUGUUCCCCGUGAACGAGGAAUUCCUAGUAAGUGCAAGUCAUAAGCUUGCGCUGAUUACGUCCCUGCCCUUUGUACACACCGCCCGUCGCUACUACCGAUUGAAUGGUUUAGUAAGGUCCUUGGAUUGGCGCCAUUGUGGUGGUUGCCGAAAGGUGGCUGCCCGACAGGUGCUGAGAAGACGACCGAACUUGAUCAUUUAGA
This 1931-nucleotide ribosomal RNA is filed under the name Caulobothrium sp. 3 Healy et al. (2009). Its description in RNAcentral is "SSU rRNA". It matches the Rfam family "Eukaryotic small subunit ribosomal RNA". The record is from RNAcentral. Lineage: Eukaryota; Metazoa; Platyhelminthes; Cestoda; Tetraphyllidea.